This 888-nucleotide ribosomal RNA is filed under the name Ceratostoma fournieri. Its description in RNAcentral is "12S ribosomal RNA". Lineage: Eukaryota; Metazoa; Mollusca; Gastropoda; Neogastropoda; Muricidae. The record is from RNAcentral.
AAUAAGCUUGGCUCUGACUUUUUAUAUUAUAAAGAACUAAAGAAUACACAUGGUUUUUAUGGAUAGAGGCGAGGCAGGAAAUUAAAGUACAUUAAAUUGAACUAAUUAAAUUUUACUUUUUUUCUGAGGUAUUAUAGAUUUAUAUUAUGCCUUGAAAAGUCCCGCUAACACCAGUGCUGAAGGUUAAUCAAAAAGCGAAAGCUUGCAUUAAUUUAGUUCAAUAAAGCCUGGUUAACUUGGUGCCAGCAUCCGCGGUUAAACCAAGAAGGUUAAGUAAUAUCAGAACGGUAAAAAGACAGUUAGAUAACACAUCCUUAAUAAGUUUACUUAAUUUCUAUAAAAGGGUAGAAUUUGCAUAUAGAUAUAAAAUCUAAAGAUAACUUAUGUAUUGAACCUGUGAUAGCCUUGAGGGAAACUGGGAUUAGAUACCCCAUUAUUCUUGGCCGUAAAACAAUUGAAUUUACCAGAGUACUAUGAACUAAGAAGUUUAAAACUCAAAGAGCUUGGCGGUGUUUUAGACCUCUCAGGGGAACCUGUCUCAUAAUCGACAAUCCACGUUAUACCUAACCCUAUUUUGCUCUUACAGUUUGUAUACCGUCGUCGUCAGGUAACUUUUAAAAAUUUAGGAGUUAGCAAAAAAGCUGUGUAAGCUUACACGUCAGAUCAAGGUGCAGCCCAUAUUAGGGUGAGGAUGGGUUACAAUUAUAAAAUCAUAACUACGAAAUAAUUAUAGUAAUACAUAAUUAUAAGGAGGACUUGAAAGUAAACUAAAUUAUAAAAACAUUUUGAAUAAGGCUCUGAAACGUGCACACAUCGCCCGUCGCUCUCGUUGAAAAAUGAGAUAAGUCGUAACAUAGCAGGGGUAAUGGAAAUUGCCCCUAAGUUAAA